GUCUCUCUGGCGCAAUUGCAAUUGGUUAGCGCGUUAGACUGUUAAUCUAAAGGUUGGUGGUUCGAGCCCACCCAGGGACG
Non-coding RNA from Oncorhynchus gorbuscha (pink salmon), 80 nucleotides. Lineage: Eukaryota; Metazoa; Chordata; Actinopteri; Salmoniformes; Salmonidae. The record is from the annotation of a RefSeq genome assembly.